Macadamia integrifolia is the source of this 870-nucleotide long non-coding RNA. RefSeq lists it as uncharacterized. The transcript has 2 exons. Lineage: Eukaryota; Viridiplantae; Streptophyta; Magnoliopsida; Proteales; Proteaceae. The record is from RefSeq and is a predicted model, not a curated record.
GCUAGGGUUGGCAAUUUUCUAGAUCAGCCCAAUCGAGCCAGGCCAGGGCUAGGACUGAUGUCAAGUGACCUCAGGCUGGGCUCGAGUAUUUAACCCAGUCCAGCUUAUCCGAGUUGCAGCCCUAGCGGCUUCACUAGGGUUGGCAAUUUUCAUUUUUCUGGUCUUCUCUAUAAUAGCUUUUCCUAAUUUAGCUCGGAGUCUCGGAGUCUCGGAGUUUCGGAGUUACUUCCUGCACAUUUAACUGGAGCAGGUUGAUUGAAAUUCACAAUUGCCUCAUUGAAUGAGAAUGGAAGUGUCUUUGGAAAUUUGCAGUUAAACAGUGAGGCUAAGAUCACAUGUUCCUUGCACGUGGAGCUCACACGACAUUUCCUCCACACGGCAACAAGGGAGAAGAAAUGUCAGUUGGAAACACUCUUUCGAUACACUUCUCAAGAGUUGAACACUUGACCUCCCUGCUAUGAUACUUUCUUUUCUACCGAUUCACCUAAAAGCUCGAAUUGUUAGGGGAGGCAGCAUCAAUGUGUACAUCGCGAAUCGACUCUAUUCAAAUCAUACUUGUUACAGUGUUAGCUAUGCCUACCUUUGUUCAUCACAUUUCCUAUUGUCAUUUUAGGCCUGCCCUUAGCCUUUUUAGCUCCUCCAAUUUGAAUAUAUGACUCCUAACCUGUGUAUUGAAUGAUCUCUCUGUAGGUCAUGUCCAUGCCACUAUAAACAACUCUCUCUUGACUUAUCAUGUAAUGGAGCUACUACUAAAUUAGCUCCAGUUUGUUCACUUGUUAUUUAAACUUUUCUAGUUCUACAAGCAUCCAUAUCAACAUCCUCAUUUCGGAUACACCGAGUUUAUUUAUACAUUAUUUCUUUCCCACCCAA